Molecule: long non-coding RNA, 3231 nt
Organism: Aedes albopictus (Asian tiger mosquito)
Lineage: Eukaryota; Metazoa; Arthropoda; Insecta; Diptera; Culicidae
Exons: 3
Source: RefSeq, a predicted model, not a curated record
AGUGCGGUACAAACCACUAAAAAUUUUCGGUACCAUGUUUUCUUCUUUUUGCUUGGGCAGAAGUUCUCCGAGGGGGCUAGUGAUUACCAUUUUUUUCGUCAUUUUUAUACAUUGACUUACCCCUAUCCGAUUUUUUUUGACAGUUUCAUCUCCACCACUUUCGUCACAACAAAAAUUGUUUUGUUUACGUUUCUUUUUUCGUUGGACUAUUUCAACGUAUUUAGAUGGUUCACGGUGCGGUGAGUUAAUAUUUUUUGAUUAAUUCCAAGUAUUCCUAUCCAAAUCCAUCGAAAAAAUUUUAUAGUUAAUGCGACGAGUGUCCAAUGCGAAUCACGACGUCGUCGGAAGAGCAGCAGUACGAGUAAAAGCAGUGUUUCCUGCUGGGGCAAUUUAUUUUCUUCAGUCGGAGGUGCGGGUAGCGCAGCAGCAAGAAUGACACCAGUAGCGGGACAAGCUAGUUGCGUGCGGAUGCAAUGAUCUGUGCAAAGUCUGGAAAUAUGUGGACAUUGUGCGAGUUAAUCACGGGAGGACGGUUCAUGUGCAGGAGUAUGCCAAGAGGGCUUGCUGCGUGAGAAUAUGCUGUACCUCAGUGGGUAUGUUAUGCUCAGAAGACGUGUGAAAUUGGGCCUUGAAAAUUCAAAUCCGAUGUGAUGAAGUUUCGCCAAGAUAUCAGCUUAUCGCCGAAUUAUCCCUGUUAUCCACUUAAUCUAUUUAAAAAAAACAUGCCAAACAACUUCGUCUACAUGAUGGUCUGCGCGGUGCCCAUCGUCGGUUACACACGCACUGUAUUCGAAGAUACACCGGUCGCGCAACCCUUUUUACUCGGAGUUAUUGUAAGCGAUUUCGUGACCGUAUCGGCCAUACAGUAUUCCCGGCAGAGCGUAUUUACCCGGUACAACGUCAUCCAGAACGGGGAAGGAGAUUUCAUUUUGGAGGCCGGGUACAAGAUUUUCAAUGUGGAAUCCUACCUGGAGACGGAUUUUGCCCUACCAAAGAUCUACCAGGUUGCCGUAUCUGAUUUUGCCGCCGGAGCGAUGUCGAAAUACGAAUUGAUAGGUUUCAAGAAAUAUUGUGUUCAUGGGGCUGAGCUUAUUGGAUGAUCUCUUUCAGGUGACCUACAAGAAGUUCUACGAAAGUCGCUUAUCUCUGAUGAUGUAGAAGCACGAAAUUGCCACCGUGGUAGGGCACGAUUAUGAUCGUCAGUUUUUCUGCAAUAUGGCCCCAGCUUUGUGGAGCUACCUCUGGAUGAUGGAAAGCUCCGCUCGAUACUUUGAAUAUCUGACCUCGGACAUGAUCUAUACCCACUCGGAAACCGUAUGCCAUUAUGAAAAUGCAGAACGCUUUCAAUAUGGAUUCAGUGGGGUCGUCUCGGCGUUAUAUGUGAAUACGCUUCGCAGUCUGAGAUCGCAUAUGUCUUAGACAACAUUAAGUAAAAAGAAAAUCUGGUUAAGUACUGUUCUUUUUAAUUCCACUAAGAAUUUGCAUCCUUUGACAGAUACGUAUUUCGAACUUAACUGUAAGGUCAUCUUUAGUAUCAUCUUUAGUAUUUCGACAGUCGAAUCAAGUACGAGACAUUGAAGACGACCUUACAGUUGAGGUCGAAAUACGUAUCUGUAGGAUGCAAAUGCUUAGUGGAAUUAAAAGCAACAAUACUUAACCAGGUUUUCUUUCUACUCACACCACUCUUUCCACUAUCACGCCCAGGUUCAUCAUCAUCUUCGACAACAUUGCUUAUGAUAAAGGUGGUUCCAUGAUGCAUAUGUUCCAACACGCCUUUGGCCCGGAAACGUUCCGUCGAGCGUUGAUCAUUUACCUUCGUGCUAAAGCAUACAGAGGUGCUCAUUCGGAAGACUUUGCUAAGCCAUCAUGGCAUUGGAUGUUCUCAAGUCGCGGACCGAGAGAAAGAUUCAUGGACCAUUCUCUACAACUUCGUCACAACUAGGAAACCUAGCUUCAACACAACCGCUGACACCAGAUGACUGCUCACCAACAGCACAAUUCUGGCAGCCGAACGAUGGUCUGCUACGGAUUGGAUCAUUUUAAAUAAGAUGCAAACUGGCUAUUACCGAGUCAAUUACGACGAUCGAUUUUGUUUCAGCAUUUCAAGUGACACGUAGAGAUAGUAGGAGAACUUGAACCACCCAAAACGAGGAAAGUGCUCGGUCUGACUCAUUGGAAAAACUGCUCGCAAGCACAAGAAGCUAGACCAACACGAAGCACUCGGCCUUGAACUAAAUUUUAGGAAAAUAUUUCUGUUUCCCUACCGGAACGUCUCCGGUCGAUGUAAUUGCUGGGAGAUGAAUCUUAUGACUUCUUAAGAGGAGAAACAUUCAGAGCGACGGAUCCAGACGAAGAAGCAAUGUGGCAGUUUGGCGGAUAUCUGUGACAACUGGUCGGAGCCAUUCCUGACAACUAUGGAUCAUAUUUAUCAAUCAAUCCGAGAUCAAGUCACCUGCUAGUCAAACGACAUUUCUUGAAGGUACUACAUAUUUCUCCACAACACGAAUCUCACUACCGUCACAUCCAGAAUACGCUAUAAUUUCAAAUGUUGUUACAAUAAUUAUAUAUCUUUUACUAGUUUUAGAAUAUUUAAUAAAUACAAUGGGGCGCUGGGGUCGCAGGGUGGUUUCACUUACAUAUUCGAAAAAAAAAAACAAGCCAAAUGUCGUCCCAAAUUACAUAAUGAUGCGAGGAAUGCAAGUUCACUUCUGGAGUUGUUUUAAAAGUCCAAGACAAUUUGUUCUAAUUGAGUUCACCACGUCCUCCUGAAUUGCAAGGUGAUGCAAAGCACACUUCUGGAGUUGUUUAACCCUCUACUUCCCAUGGUUGCUCUAGAGCACUAUCGUUUUUCGACGAACUCUUCACUUUAAGAGUUUUUCUAGAAGCCCUUUAAGAUUAGCUCAAACUAGGUUCACCAAGUCCACCUGAAUUGCAUGGUGAUGCAAUAAAUUAACUUUUGAAACUGUCCACUUUACGAGUUUCUCUUGAAGCCCAUUAAGAUUAGCUCAAACUAGUUUCACCAAGUCCACCUGAAUUGCAUGGUGAUGCAAUAAAUUAACUUUUGAAACUGUUCACUUUAAGAGUCUUUCUAGAAGCCUAUUAAGAUUAGCUCAAACUAGGUUCACCAAGUCCACCUGAAUUGCAUGGUGAUGCAAUAAAUUAACUUUUGAAACUGUUCACUUUAAGAGUCUUUCUAGAAGCCCAUUAAGAUUAGCUCAAACUAGGUUCACC